This 1471-nucleotide long non-coding RNA is filed under the name Cricetulus griseus (Chinese hamster). RNAcentral's name for it is "lncRNA (ENSCGRG00015042117.1)". Lineage: Eukaryota; Metazoa; Chordata; Mammalia; Rodentia; Cricetidae. The record is from RNAcentral.
CUUGCUUCUGGGUCCUAGCGCGGGCACGCAGUCGCCACCCUAACUACGAGAGCGUGUCUUGGGGAAAAGCGCGAUGCUUUUUGCCCUGCGGCGUCAGUGACCGUAAGCAGCCUUCGGAGCGACUGACCCACAGCUCUAAAGGACAGCUAGCGCCACUGUUGAGACAGAAAACUGAGGCUAUGCCUGGGAAACUGUGGAUGAGUUGGAGAGCAACCCCUCCAAAGCGUCCCAAGCACUUGGUGUUUUUCUGAGCCAAACUCCCUUCUUAGAGACUAAUUAGCACCCCCACUUGUCUGUGGAACUUAGGGCCUGAAUUCAGACAAAGCUCUAAAACCUGAUGUUCCUGAUGGUCGAGUUCACCACCACAGUGAGUGGUGAAGACAUCCCAGUCAACAGAUGGUGCUGUGUGCCCGUGUCCUAGUGGUCACCCUGAGAGAUCUCCUGCUUCUGCCCUUCCCCCUUCUCCAUCCACACCAGUGUGCUGUUGCCACCCUGCUGCAGAGCAUAUUGUCACAUCCAGCAGCUGCCUUAACCUGUGACCUCUGGAACCUUGUUUCCCUCUUCCCCAACCUGUCCCUCAUCUUCCCCGUGCCCUUUUGAUGUUUCUCCAUGGAGUCUGAGGGCUUUACUGGAUCCAGAAAGGAUGUCCUGUGCCAAGUCUGUUGAUGGUGAUGUUGGUACUCCUCAUUGCUCUUCAUCAGCCACAGUGGACAGCAACAAGGCCAGCAGCGACUCUCCCUGUGACUGCUGGGGGACAUUCCUCCUCUGCCUCUGUUCCUGCAUUUCCUUCCUUGAGGUCCUGUGGCUCCUGGUGUAUACCCCACUAGGUCUCACCUCCAUGCUCCUGAGCACUGAGAAACUGCUGGUCAAGGCUAUUAGAAGAGCUGAACUGCUCCACCUCUGAAAGGGCAGUUCUGACCCUGGAUAUCUACAAUCCCUCCUGCUGCCAGCUACCUUCCACACAGGGCUGCUGCUUCACAGAUAGACCCUGGUUCUGCAGACCUGGAGGGUCCUGCUGGAGACCCAGAAGAAGGCCCAGCCACAGGACAUGAGCAGCCCUCCAGCCCUGCUGUGUUUGCUGGCACUUUCUUGUGACCAUCCAUGCCAGGAGCUGCUCAUCAGUUUGUGCGUGAGGCACGAGCUGAGGCAGCUUCUCCAUCUGGAGCAUGAGAUGGUGAGGGGAAGCUCCAGGUCUCCCAGCAGAGGGAAAAUUGCCUGCUGGAACGCUGUUGAGAAGAAAUGUGGACUGUCUCCAGGUGUCACACAGGAGAUUUAAACCCUGGGCCAGAGAGAUGUUCAGUGAGAAAAGUGCUUACUACCAAGCCUGAUGGCUGAAUUUGAUCCCAGAAGCCAAAUGGUGGAAAGAGAGAACUGACUCCCACAAAUUGUCUUAUAACCUUCAUAUACGUGUGUUUGUGCAUGCAACAUACAAAAUAAAUAAAUGUUUAAAAUUAAAGAAUUAAAUAUUGGC